CCUACGGGAUGCAGCAGUGGGGAAUAUUGGGCAAUGGGCGCAAGCCUGACCCAGCAACGCCGCGUGAAGGAAGAAGGCUUUCGGGUUGUAAACUUCUUUUGUCAGGGACGAAGCACGUGACGGUACCUGACGAAUAAGCCACGGCUAACUACGUGCCAGCAGCCGCGGUAAUACGUAGGUGGCAAGCGUUAUCCGGAUUUAUUGGGUGUAAAGGGCGUGUAGGCGGGAAUGCAAGUCAGCUGUGAAAACUAUGGGCUCAACCCAUAGCCUGCAUUUGAAACUGUAUUUCUUGAGUGAGGGAGAGGCAAGCGGAAUUCCGUGUGUAGCGGUGAAAUGCGUAGAUAUACGGAGGAACACCAGUGGCGAAGGCGGAUUGCUGGACAGUAACUGACGCUGAGGCGCGAAAGCGUGGGGAGCAAACAGGAUUAGAUACCCCUGUAGUC
This 443-nucleotide ribosomal RNA is filed under the name uncultured bacterium. RNAcentral's name for it is "partial 16S ribosomal RNA". It matches the Rfam family "Bacterial small subunit ribosomal RNA", at positions 338 to 795 of the family's 1533-position model. The record is from RNAcentral.